This 529-nucleotide long non-coding RNA is filed under the name Danio rerio (zebrafish). RNAcentral's name for it is "protein kinase cGMP-dependent 2, like (ENSDARG00000098342.2)". Lineage: Eukaryota; Metazoa; Chordata; Actinopteri; Cypriniformes; Danionidae. The record is from RNAcentral.
AUGCAGAAGUUUUAUUAAUGGGUUUAGGCAGAGACAUCAGUGAGUCAACAGGUGGGAAGUUGGCAACAUAUAAGCAGUCCAAUCCAGUCAACAAACACAGGGGCAAAUCCAGACAACAUAGUGAGAGUGCAGGCAGAGGUUCAGUAUAGCAACUAGCAGUCCAAAACAGAUCAAGAUACACAGGGGCAAAUCCAGUAGACGUGGUGAGAAGGCAGGCAAAAGUUCAAGGCAACAAUAAGCAGUCCAAAACAGAGCAAUAGGGCAAAGUGAGAUAACGUACUUGAUCAAAGCAGGCAGGGUCAUACACAGGCAGGCAGUCAUGAAAGUCUCUUGGAAAACCGCUUAGUAAUCCAGGUAGCCUGGCAAUACUUCACAAGAAACAUGGCCUGAGCUGUUGCUAAAAUACAGCACAAACAGGAAGUGACUGGAGAGGGAGAGGAGCUGAGUCAGUAGUUGGGCGAGGGCUCCCUCUGCUGGCGUGGCGUUACAAUUAUAAAAUGAUCAGUAGGGCCAGACAGAAUCUGUGGAC